CUACAACACCUGUUCACUAUUACCUUCAAGAGCUCCACUGCACCAAGGAAGAACACAGACACAGCAGUAAUGGAUAGGUGUAUACCACACUGUGGGGACAAAAACAAAGGUAGUUCCAUUGGCAACGUACAUGGAGGUGGAGGCAAUGCGAACAUUGGCAAUGCAUCAGGAGGUGGAGGAAGUCACAUUGGCAACGUACACGGUGGUGGAGGCAACGAGAACAUUGGCAAUGUAUCAGGAGGUGGAGGAAGUCACAUUGGCGACGUACACGGUGGUGGAGGCAACACCAACAUUGGCAAUGUAUCAGGAGGUGGAGGAAGUCACAUUGGCAACAUAGAUGGGGGUGGAGGCAACACCGGCAUUGGCAACGUUGGAAAAUAAUCUGGAUGCCAUUAGGGCCGCUUCACCAAAAGCCUGUCAACAUCCCUGCUCACUCUGGGUUGAAGAUUAUGAAAACUGGGUGCAUAUUCAUGUUCUUAGUUCUAUCAGAUUCACUCUAGGAGUAUGGUUUUAAUCAGCAUUGUAACCGUUCUUGUUUUUGUCAAAUAAAUAAAUGUUACAACACUGA
Long non-coding RNA from Esox lucius (northern pike), 568 nucleotides. The record is from Ensembl. Lineage: Eukaryota; Metazoa; Chordata; Actinopteri; Esociformes; Esocidae.